GGGUGCAUAGCUUAGAUGGUAGAGCAUCGGGCUUUUAACCUGGGGGUCUUGGGUUCGAAUCCCAAUGCACCCA
Molecule: transfer RNA, 73 nt
Filed under: Nanobdellota archaeon
Lineage: Archaea; Nanobdellati; Nanobdellota
Description: tRNA-Lys
Rfam family: tRNA
About the family: Transfer RNA (tRNA) molecules are approximately 80 nucleotides in length.
Source: RNAcentral